Molecule: ribosomal RNA, 112 nt
Filed under: Corythoichthys amplexus (brown-banded pipefish)
Lineage: Eukaryota; Metazoa; Chordata; Actinopteri; Syngnathiformes; Syngnathidae
Description: partial 16S ribosomal RNA
Source: RNAcentral
UACCUUAAAACUAGUCUAAUUUUUAAACUCAAAAACAAAACAUAAAUACCCCCCAACACAUCAACACCUCAAAAUAAAACAUUCUUCCCCCCAAGUACGGGAGACAGAAAAG